UCUUCAGGUAGGCUAAUUCUUUCUGGGUCCUCUCUUUAGAGGGCAGAUAGAACAUGAUGAUUGGAGUUUGCAUGAUUCGUGAUCAACGUCUGCAUGACUAAGGCUCGAAACAUCCUAAUCGCUCCUAUCUUUU
Molecule: small nucleolar RNA, 133 nt
Organism: Sorex fumeus (smoky shrew)
Lineage: Eukaryota; Metazoa; Chordata; Mammalia; Eulipotyphla; Soricidae
Product: U8 small nucleolar RNA
Exons: 1
Source: RefSeq, a predicted model, not a curated record